Molecule: ribosomal RNA, 600 nt
Filed under: uncultured bacterium
Lineage: Bacteria
Description: bacterial SSU rRNA
Rfam family: Bacterial small subunit ribosomal RNA
Source: RNAcentral
ACGCAGUAAACGAUGAAUGCCGGCUGUUCGGGAUGAUUGAGUCCUGAGCGGCGAAGCGAAAGCGAUAAGCAUUCCACCUGGGGAGUACGCCGGCAACGGUGAAACUCAAAGGAAUUGACGGGGGCCCGCACAAGCGGAGGAACAUGUGGUUUAAUUCGAUGAUACGCGAGGAACCUUACCCGGGCUCAAACGGCGGCGGACAGGGACAGAGACGUCCCCUCCUUUGGGCCACCGCCGAGGUGCUGCAUGGUUGUCGUCAGCUCGUGCCGUGAGGUGUCGGCUUAAGUGCCAUAACGAGCGCAACCCCUGCCGGUAGUUGCUAACGGUUAAAGCCGAGGACUCUACCGGGACUGCCGGCGCAAGCCGUGAGGAAGGCGGGGAUGACGUCAAAUCAGCACGGCCCUUACGUCCGGGGCGACACACGUGUUACAAUGGUCGGUACAGAGGGAAGCCAGGUGGCGACACCGAGCGGAACCCGAAAGCCGGUCUCAGUUCGGAUCGGAGUCUGCAACCCGACUCCGUGAAGCUGGAUUCGCUAGUAAUCGCGCAUCAGCCAUGGCGCGGUGAAUACGUUCCCGGGCCUUGCACACACCGCCCGUC